AAUUUUUAAAAAGGAAUAGAUCGCCGACAGAAAAUAAAAUGGCUUUGAUGGAGUUUCUUUAUACGGCUCUAAGACCUACUGCUCCGUGGUCUUUAAAAAAGACGAAAGGUUUUCGCCUCCUGAUUUAAGUAAUUAAAUAAGUAUUUGGCUGCCGUUUUUAUUGUGUACACUUGAUUUACGCGUGUCUUCUGUGCACGACAACUGUGUUUAAUACUGUAUAUCGGCUGCCCCGAGUCCGAGGCCACUGCGUACCUGACUGCCGCUUUAGAAUUAUGUUUUAGUCAAGAAUUACUCUUCCUAUUUAAAGGAAGCUGCCGCGACAUCCUGGGUAUAUAUACCCGAUGUGUGGGAUACUUUUCAAGUGUUCAGCUAGCGCUUUCUCGAUCUGUAAACGCAUCUCGGAGCUGGCGAGCCCGUUGAAUUACCCCGCCGCGGCGGUGUGCAGCGAGCUGCCUGCCUCUCUCCUCGGACGGACUUAGCAGCAGCUACACAGGCGCUUGGCUUUCGCAUCUAUCCGCCAUUUUCCGCUGAUUGGGAGCAGGUAGACCAAGACAGACCGCACGACGCCGCUCAAAAUACAACAGAGCCCAUGUGAGCGCAGGCAUGAUGCUGCCCUGACCGUGCGCCCCCAGAGCUCAGCAGUGACGUCCCAUGGAGCAGGUGAGCUGCAGAGGACGGUGACCGGAGGGCAUCAUGGCCCCUCUUGUCCACAGCCGCUUUUAAGACAUGACGGAUUUAAACUUACAUGCCGAAUCUCACGUUUAAUAUACCCGUAUUUCACCUCUGAUCUUCUGACUAUCUGUUUCUCUCUUUUUCUACAUGAUCCGCUGCUGCGUUAGUGUGUUGGUGGCUAAGAAUCCUUACCGGUGCCUUCCAACAUAAUUAUCGAUUCCUGACGAAUGCUGUGUGGGAGCAAUAGCAAACAGCAAAACGUAUAAUUUGGUGGUUAAAGUUCUGUUGUUUUGCUUCACAAGUGGGGCACUGCCUGAAGGGAAGGGGCAUUAGAGAUCAAGUCGUAACUGACUGUGCUUGGAGGACAGCAUUGUGAUUCCCCCUGUACAC
This 1062-nucleotide long non-coding RNA is filed under the name Lepisosteus oculatus (spotted gar). RNAcentral's name for it is "lncRNA (ENSLOCG00000023012.1)". The record is from RNAcentral. Lineage: Eukaryota; Metazoa; Chordata; Actinopteri; Semionotiformes; Lepisosteidae.